Molecule: non-coding RNA, 4045 nt
Organism: Equus caballus (horse)
Lineage: Eukaryota; Metazoa; Chordata; Mammalia; Perissodactyla; Equidae
Source: RefSeq, a predicted model, not a curated record
UUUUUCAACUCUAGCUAUAUAAUAUAAUAAAAAGCAACCCCAAACCUGUUUCCCAAUUUGCCAUAUUUCUUUGAAUUGGGGGGUUUGCUUUCACUUACUCUUCUCUUUUCUGCGAGUUCUUUGGCUUUCUACUGACUGUAUUUACAACAUCCACAUUUUCCAAUCCAAAAAUCGAGAUUCACGGACCAAGUAUGUGAAACCACAGAUGUCCUUGAGGCAUGUGGUUUUUCUGCCCAUAUUUCACCCUUUCUCCCCAUAAAUCUCUUUCUUUGCCUGAGAGGCCAGAUGAUCUAGUCGUCUGGAAACAGAACUAAGACUUGCAGGUGCUUGAUUUACUGUUUCACUCAUGGUAUUUGCCAGGAACAUUUUCUUUUGGUGGUGGAGGGGGGCGGGCGGAGACAAAGUUUACCUCUGGGUCUGCGUUGCAGAGAAACCCUACAGGCAGGGACACACCCACUUGGAAACAAGGCUUCCCUGGAAGUGGGAGGAGACAGGAACUGCAGGUGCCCUCCUCUGGGGGCCAGAGUCAGCUAACAGCGGUCCAAGUGCGCAGGAGCACUCACCCUGCACCCGAGCCGAGCCGUCGGAGACGAGUCCAGAGGCUGGCUUGCCUGUGACGGUGCCAGGGAAGGUGGAGUGUGGUGAGCUGCUUGCCGGGCACGACCGCUGACACCAAAUCUGUAGACGUGCACCACCUCUUUCUCCUCCACGCAAGCCAGCCCCUCCUGCUGAAAGCUGUUAAGCCUGCCGUUUGGAUUUCUUAGAAUCCCAGCUCCCCAGGGACCUUUCUAGGGACAAACUGACCUCACACUGAAAUCCUGGCAGGUUUUGUAGCUUCUGGAUUGCUUGUUGCAACAGUUCUUAGGAAGUGCGAUUCGCUCCUACAUCUGCAUCUGUCCAUGCUUGCUCCUACCUACGCCCAGGAAGAGCCGGUGAGGCCCAGCUUCUGGGGAUCCUGCACAGCCCAACCCUGAGGCUGCUCUCCUUGCCUCCAAACACACUGUAUAGGUAUCUGGGAGCACAGACACCGUGGAAGCCGCCAGGAGGAGACUCAAGAGAAGACCUGCAGUUUUCAGUAUUCAAAAGCACCCGUGGUGGUGGUUGAUGCUGAGAACACCUGGUUCACUGUAGAGCUUUGUAACUGCUGGACUAAUCGUUUUGUUUCUCCGGCCCAGCCAAGGAGGGAUCAGUACCUAUCCUGGGCUUGGAGGGAAUGUACACGAGAGCCUCAGAGGUUGUUUGGCUUGGCUCUGACUCACCCUGACUCUGCAGUGAAGCAGAAAGGAGGAAACAUCACACCACCCAGGUGUGGCCGGCCUUCGACCAUUAUUGCAAAUCCCCAAGAGUUCCCACAAGCUCUCAUUUAACCUUAGUUGUGGUUACACUAAGACUUUGGGCUCAGGAAAGCUGUAGAAGAGGAGACAGGAUGAGGCGGGAAGAGGAGGAAGAGGAGGAGACCAGGAUGAAGGCAAAAGGGGACUUAGAGAUGAAGGAGGAGCAGGAUGGCGGCGAUUCGGGAGAACCCGUGGGCCCUUUUGCAAGUGCCCCGCCCACCCCAAUGCCCCACAACAAGGGGACCCGGUUUUCUGAGGCAUGGGAGUAUUUCCACCUGGCCCCUGCUCGUGCUGGCCACCACCCCAACCAAUAUGCUACCUGCCGCCUAUGUGGCAGGCUGGUGAGCCGUGGCCCUGGGGUCAACGUGGGCACCACAGCCCUGUGGAAGCACCUGAAAAGCAUGCACAGAGAGGAGCUGGAGAAGAGUGGCCAUGGCCAGACAGGGCAGCGCCAGGACCCAAAGCCACAAGGGCCUCAGCUCCCCAUGGGCAUUGAGGGAGACUGGGCCAGGUUCGUGGAGCAGGUGGGGGCCCUGGCUUUAUGGGCCAGCCAAAGAGAAAAGGAGGUACUUAGGAGGGAGAGGGCCGUGGAAUGGCGGGAGAGGGCCGUGGAAAGGAGAGAGCGAGCCCUGGAGGAGGUGGAAAGGGCCAUCCUGGAGAUGAAGUGGAAGGUGAAGGCUGAGAAGGAGGCCAGCCAGAGGGAGAAAGACCUGCCAACAGCAGCGCAUCCCUUUCAUUUUGUUUAAAUCGGGCUUUGGGGCAUCUAUUCUGAAAACACUCACUUUAGACUCAUAGCAAGCAGCUUAAGCACAAAGCAAAGUAGUUUAGUGUUUUGUUUUGGUUUUUUUUAAGAGAAAGAGCUCAUAGGAUGGGUUAAUUUCCGCAGUCUGAGUUGACUAAAUGCUUUUCAACAGGGUUCUUAGAGCUGUACUGACCCUUGGCCCCAACUUCAAAAUGUACUAGUUACAGAUAAACGUGUUGUUGCCACCAGGGGUCCGUGAGUUGUUUUGUGGAGGAAUGUACCAGUCUGUCAGCACUGAUGAGUGAAGAUAACCGAAUUUCUGCCUAGCGCUUAGUUUUGGUGGAGCUGAAGGUUUUGACGGUUGAGGCUGGUCGGGCAGCUGGAAUGUGCCUACGUGACCAGCUCACUCUGAGAUCCUACCACGAGCAGAACCUAGGCAUCUUUGGACCGAGGUGUUUGCACUUAUACGGGUGGUGAUUCGAGAACUGGAUUCAAAGCUUGUCCUUUGGGCCCAGCAGUGGAAGGACAAAGAAGCUUGAGCCUGAGCUCUCCAGACCCUUCCAAUGCAUAUCUUUCUCCUGUUGUUGCAGUGUUGUACCACCCGCUUGUAUUAAAGCUGUGUCAUCGAUACAACCUGCCUGAAUCCCCUGUCCUGUAAACUUGAAGCUUGCACAGGGAUGUAAGAGAAAAAUGGCACAAGUGAGAGGAGAAGAAGGGAGAGAAGAUCGAAAGCAUAAAGAAGAAAAAGCUGUGUCAUUGGGUGGGGACUUGGCAAGGCUUUCCGCUGGCAGCUGCCUCGUCUGAGUGAUUGAAGAUCUUACAGAGACCAUGGACAUUGUUUUGAACUUCAGACCCCUGAAUGGACCGUAAGAAUACAGAGGAUAAUUGUGAAAAAACAUACUCCCCUCCUCCAGAAAAGAAGUCUAACUUUUGAAAGAUUUGCCUCCUUUGUGGAAGAGUCAAAAACAGAGGCAUGAGCUUGCUGGCACAACAAGAUUGUCUGUUUUCUGCCAAAUCUGUAGAAUGUUGCAGUUGGAAGGAAUUGUACUGAUCAUCUGGUGUAGACUGAACCUUCAUUUUACACAUGAAGACACUGAGGCCCCAGAGGUAAAAGUGUCUUGCCCAAGGUCGAAGAGUUUGUUAUAAAGAAGCUUGUGCUACUUGUUUCAUGGAGUCUUAUCUUACACUAUUAAACUAUUCAGCUUAAUAUCUUCGACAGUUGAAACCAACCAUUCUUCAAAUGAAAAUGCAAAUUGCCUCCAAUAUCUUGACAAGUAAGAACCAAUCUAGAAAUCGUUCGUUUUUUUAUUCCCAUGGCAUACUUGCACCUAUAUGUCACAGAGGAAACAAUAGUGAGUGAUUUAUAUGUAUAUUUGCAGAUGUAUAUGUGUAUAUAUUCACACACAUAUUUGUUCGAGAAGUUUCUGUUCGUCUAUUUAUUCCCUUGCUUGCUUUUCAAUGUAAUUUCCUGGUGGAAUUCUGACCAAUUCUCUGGGUGAAACCAGGCAUGCUAUUUUUAAAUUGAAGGUAUUGAAUUAACUUCACCCUGGUGUUAUGUGACUCAGCAUCAAUUUUAGUUUCACUGUUCUUUAGCCAUUUAUGAUGUAUUUUUCUCUUUUGUUUUGCUCAGAGAAGGCCUUAUGGGUCUCCUAUCUACAUCUCCAAACAAUUCUCUUUCUGUUUAUCUGUCUCCUCCGUCCUCAGUACACACAACAGGUGGCUGAAGGAGAAGUUGCUCUAAUUACCCAGCACCCCGCUGGGAAGGUCACAUUUCUAGAAGAACUAGAUGAUGAUGCAAACAAAUGAACAACGAAAAACACUGCAUGGAAAGUCCUCUGAAGCACAUGGAAGACCCUCAGAGCUGAUUUUUCCUAAAACAGUACCAUGCCUUGUCACUUUUGAGAAAGUUAGAAAAACUUUCUUUUUUCUUUCUAAAAUAAAAUCAUGCCUUAUUGCUUUUGAAACAGAA